AUGUCUUUUAUUUAUUUUACAUGAGAUCGUAGUUUUUAAAUAGCCAAUGACUACAUAAAGAUGGAUCAUGAUCUAAGAAUACGACUCAUGCUCAACGAGAUAGGCUAUGCUUAAAAAUCGAUCAUAGAUUUAUUGACUUAUCUAAAUAUUUUUGACUAACCUAUAAUUUUAAAGGAUGGUUCAUGCUCUCUAAGAUAAGUUAUAUCUUUAUUGAUUAAAUACCAAUCCAAGGCA
Molecule: long non-coding RNA, 234 nt
Filed under: Elaeis guineensis (African oil palm)
Lineage: Eukaryota; Viridiplantae; Streptophyta; Magnoliopsida; Arecales; Arecaceae
Description: long non-coding RNA (EGUI_LNC061968)
Source: RNAcentral